This 253-nucleotide ribosomal RNA is filed under the name uncultured bacterium. RNAcentral describes it as "partial 16S ribosomal RNA". It matches the Rfam family "Bacterial small subunit ribosomal RNA", at positions 524 to 776 of the family's 1533-position model. The record is from RNAcentral.
UACAGAGGUCCCAAGCGUUGUUCGGAUUCAUUGGGCGUAAAGGGUGCGUAGGCGGCGCGGUAAGUCGGGUGUGAAAUCUCGGAGCUUAACUCCGAAACUGCAUUCGAUACUGCCGUGCUUGAGGACUGGAGAGGAGACUGGAAUUUACGGUGUGGCGGUGAAAUGCGUAGAUAUCGUAAGGAAGACCAGUGGCGAAGGCGGGUCUCUGGACAGUUCCUGACGCUGAGGCACGAAGGCCAGGGGAGCAAACGGG